This is a regulatory RNA element of 101 nucleotides. It matches the Rfam family "23S methyl RNA motif". The record is from Rfam.
CGGUUUUUAGUGAUUAUCGAUUUUUUCGUUAGUCAUUACAUAAUUGUACUUCAUUUAACGUAGCUGUUCGCCGUACCCAUACCGAACAGUUACGCUUUUUU